Molecule: long non-coding RNA, 91 nt
Organism: Octopus sinensis (East Asian common octopus)
Lineage: Eukaryota; Metazoa; Mollusca; Cephalopoda; Octopoda; Octopodidae
Exons: 4
Source: RefSeq, a predicted model, not a curated record
UGGCAGAAAUAGUAGUAUAUUGUAAACGAAGUGAAAAUAGCCUGCCUCAACGUGGAAUUGACAUAUAAUUGCAGGCUCGGUUAGCUGGGAG